Molecule: long non-coding RNA, 327 nt
Filed under: Elaeis guineensis (African oil palm)
Lineage: Eukaryota; Viridiplantae; Streptophyta; Magnoliopsida; Arecales; Arecaceae
Description: long non-coding RNA (EGUI_LNC016763)
Source: RNAcentral
UCUUUGGCCUAGCAGACCACUCAAGUGGUUGUCUAUUACGGCGUACACACAUCAGAAAACUUACAUUAGCAACAACUUUCAAGUAACAUACAUUAUCAUCUCAUGUUAUAGGCAUUUUAUCAUUUUGAUCCUGAGAGGAUAUUGCAGCCAGGAAGACGGGCCCUUCUCAGUAUGAAGGUCACGAUAACCAUGUUUUUAUCUUUAAAUCUCAAAUAAUAUAUCAGCUUGUAUUUCUAUCAGGCACUUGUCAAUACAGUUUUAUUACAUGUAGACUUUAUUAUCUAUGCCAAUAUAAAUCGACAACCAACAUAUCUGCGGAAGGAUAGC